This 408-nucleotide ribosomal RNA is filed under the name uncultured bacterium. RNAcentral's name for it is "partial 16S ribosomal RNA". It matches the Rfam family "Bacterial small subunit ribosomal RNA", at positions 29 to 526 of the family's 1533-position model. The record is from RNAcentral.
AGUGAACGCUGGCGGCGUGCCUAAUACAUGCAAGUCGAACGGAGUGGCGCACGGGUGAGUAAUAUAUAGCUAAUCUGCCCCUUUCUGGAGGACAACAGAUAGAAAUGACUGCUAAUACUCCAUAGCAAGUGAUGAGACGAUAUAGUAUAAGCUAGUCGGUGGGGUAACGGCGUACCGAGGGUAUGACGCGUAACUGGUCUGAGAGGAUGAUCAGUCACAUUGGAACUGAGGCAGAGUCCAAAAUCUUGCGAGAGGCAGCAGUAGGGAGUAUUGCCCAAUGGGGGUGACCCUGACGCAGCAACGCCGCGUGGAGGAUGACACUUUUCGGAGCGUAAACUCCUUUUGUUAGGGAAGCGGUACCUAACGAAUAAGCACCGGCUAACUCCGUGCCAGCAGCCGCGGUAAUAC